This 425-nucleotide ribosomal RNA is filed under the name uncultured bacterium. RNAcentral describes it as "partial 16S ribosomal RNA". It matches the Rfam family "Bacterial small subunit ribosomal RNA", at positions 354 to 796 of the family's 1533-position model. The record is from RNAcentral.
GUGGGGAAUCUUGCGCAAUGGGCGAAAGCCUGACGCAGCCAUGCCGCGUGAAUGAUGAAGGUCUUAGGAUUGUAAAAUUCUUUCACCGGGGACGAUAAUGACGGUACCCGGAGAAGAAGCUCCGGCUAACUUCGUGCCAGCAGCCGCGGUAAUACGAAGGGGGCUAGCGUUGCUCGGAAUUACUGGGCGUAAAGGGCGCGUAGGCGGACAGCUUAGUCAGAGGUGAAAGCCCAGGGCUCAACCUUGGAAGUGCCUUUGAUACUGGCUGUCUUGAGUUUGGGAGAGGUGAGUGGAACGCCGAGUGUAGAGGUGAAAUUCGUAGAGAUUCGGAAGAACACCAGUGGCGAAGGCGACUCACUGGCCCAAUACUGACGCUGAGGCGCGAAAGCGUGGGGAGCAAACAGGAUUAGAAACCCCAGUAGUCC